CUUCACACUAAUCAAUGGCUCCCAUUCUCCCUCUGUGCCUCUGCUUCAUUCUCUUUUGCCUUGGUCCCCUGGCUGAAGGAGGUCCAUGGGCGAGCCCAGCGAGAGGUGGAGCUGCGAGAGACUGUACCGGAGUCGAGAAGCUAACAACCCUCGAGACAACUCGAAGGGUCGACUCCGAGGCCGGGUACACCGAGUACUUCGACGAGACUGACGUCCAAUUCCGGUGCUCCGGCUUCGCCGCCCACCGGCAAACCAUCUACCGCAAGGGUUUCCUCAAGCCUCACUAUUCCAACUCUCCUCAAGUCAUAUAUGUCAUUGAAGGAAGUGGCCUCUACGGAUUAGCCAUUCCCGGCUGCCCGGAGAACCAGCGGGGCGCGGACGGAGAUCAACAUCAGAAAAUCAACAAGUUCAGUAAGGGCGAUGUGAUCGUCAUACCGGCCGCCAUUGUUUCAUGGUUCUACAACAACGGCGAGACUCCGAUCAUCACCCUUAACUUCCUCGACACCGGCAACACAGCUAACCAGCUCGACCGCAAGCGUAGAAUAUACUUUCUAGCAGGAAACCAGCACCAAACCGGCAAUUCAUGGCAGGGUGUGUUCAGUGGGUUUGAGCCUAAUAUGUUGGCUGACUCCCUCGGCGUCAGCGUGGAGCUCGCCAACAAGUUCCAGACUCCGGCGCAGCACAAUGGCGAGAUUGUCCUUCUGAAAAAGGGGCUGAAAAUCAAGCCCACGUACAACGAUGACCAGGAGGAGGAAGAGGACAGGCAGAGAGCCCGGCUGAAGGGACUGGAUCAGGCCUUCUGCUCUUUGAAAACCAAGGAGAAUAUCGACCAGAGCGGCGAUGUCGAAGACCCGAGAGCCGGUACCCUCAGCAACCUCAACGCCAACAAGCUCCCCAUCCUCGACAUAGUUCAGAUCAGUUUAACAAGGGCCAUCAUGUACAAGGGUGCAUGCCUUGUGCCUCACUGGAGCCUCAACACCCACAGCGCUGUCUAUGUGACUGCCGGUAAGGGACGGAUUCAGCUCAUCGACAGCGAGGGGAGAUCGGCCUACGACGAUGAGCUCGGUCCAGGGCAGCUGGUCAUCGUGCCUCAUACCUUCGUGUGCAUCAAGCAGGCGACAGGGGAGACGUUCGAGUACAUUUCCUUCAAGACUCACGGUGCCGCCAUGUUCAACCAGAUCAUUGGGAAGGAGUCGCUGCUGCGGGCAUUACCGGCCGAAGUGAUCAUGAGCUCGUUCAGGAACCUCACUAGGGAGGAUGUGAAGAUUCUGAAGGAGGGAGAUGCAGCGUCUAUAGUACCUCCUAGAUCUCUGUUGGAUGCUUCCGUCUAAUGUAUCGAGUGAAGUUCGUGGGUUUGGUUCGAGUCAGGUCUGUUUGAGCAGUGUAAUCGGAGUCAAGUGAAAUGGUUUUAAUAAUUAUGUGGAUGUAAUUUAGAAUCCACAAUCGACUUUUAUGCAGUGGUUUUUUUUGUUUUUGUGUGUCUGUGUGCUUAGGAAUCAGCUUAUCCAGAGGUUCGCAGCUGAUCCUGCCAAAUCAUUGGAUGUAAUUUAUAAUCCACAAUGAUUUCUUAUGCAAAAUUUGUAACAAUGAUUGGGAGUUUUUCUUUAAUGAAUUUUGAUAUGGUACCCUCGAGAGGGUUACAAU
This 1644-nucleotide unclassified non-coding RNA is filed under the name Hevea brasiliensis (rubber tree). Lineage: Eukaryota; Viridiplantae; Streptophyta; Magnoliopsida; Malpighiales; Euphorbiaceae. The record is from RNAcentral.